This 209-nucleotide long non-coding RNA is filed under the name Elaeis guineensis (African oil palm). RNAcentral describes it as "long non-coding RNA (EGUI_LNC027489)". The record is from RNAcentral. Lineage: Eukaryota; Viridiplantae; Streptophyta; Magnoliopsida; Arecales; Arecaceae.
CACAGUAAAAAAUCAGGUCAAAACUGGCAAGAUCCUCCCAUCUAAGGCUUGAAUGACUGGCUCGGUGUGGCACUCCAAAACCAAAUAUUUGGAACAGCUAGCGUUGGCAGUCCAGCAAAAGAGGGGGUGAUAUUUGAGAGUUGGAUAGACUUUGUACUUCAGUUUGUAUUACAUACCCAUUUGAAAAUGGUUCCAAUGGUUAACUAGCG